AUCUGGUCAGCUAAUACAAAAGCGAGUUUUCAUCCGGCAAUUCCAUACGCUGCUGCCGGGCAGCUGCAACCAACACCUGACAGAGGCUUAUGAAUGCGCUUUUUCCCAUCUUCCUAAACCGGUAUACCCUCUAGCCGCUAACAAAAACCGUGAGGCCCAAGACCAUGUUCAAGUGGUUAGCCCGCAAUAAAGAAGAGAACAGGAGCAGUUUGCCUAAACCGCUGUCUGUUGCAUUUUAUUUCUGGAAGAUGCACAGGAAACCACAUAGGUAGCCAAUGCAUUGACUGCGAACGCACCAAGCAUGGUUUCAACUUCAAGUAACUGUUCCAACAGUGUCUUCUGUUUACCAUGAGUACCCAAUGAAAAGCCAAAAUACCAGUAUUUAUCUUCAGGUACUUUCUUACUUAUGAUGGAACAACUGUCAUUUUCCAUUCUUCCAUUCAUAUUGCAACUUUAUACUUUGUAUGGUACUUCCUUUAUUUUUCCAACUCGGGUUCUGCCAUUCUUGUUUUCAUAUCUCUGAUUGUUUUCUGAUUAUAUACAUUAUAGUUUAAGAUCAUGGCAAUACACACAUCAAAAAAUAUAAAUAUUAAAACUAAUUGUUUAUUCCAAGCAAUAAAUAUACUUAUUGAUGCAAUAAAAAAAGCCUGCAUUGAUAACAAAUCUAAGUUCUUAAUCCCAUUGAUAGUGAAGAGAAUGGUCAUCUCCUCUAUAGUGUGCUGACAUGAAGAUUGUCAUUCUUUGCAACCCUGGUCCAUAAUUCGACGGCCUCUUUGACAUGGCGUGAUAGUGCCCCCGCAGAUGCGACGAACAUUGCAUGGGAUGCUUCUAAUGCGUAGGCAGACUGACUUUGUGGCCGGAAAACUAUCUCGCUCUCAUAGGUUGUUGACAAACCUCCUGUAAUAUUUACAAUUAGAUAAAGAAUACAAUGGGAUUUAAGUAACUACACCAGCACAUCACCUUCCGUCCUUUUCAUUGUCAACAGUGUGGCAGCUAAAGUCCACUUCUCGCGCUCCGCUAGUCUCCAACGUCCUAUGUGACGCCCCACGUGUCGGUCCCAUACACGGACAAAAAUUAUUUCUCCCCUGGCGAGUAAAACAAUCUCAUCUCAGCACAUAAAUAAUAAGAAGUACAACAACAAUUUGGCAAAAUUGAUACCUAAUGUUCAUAACUGCGACGUCUAGGCACGGAGUCUUCUGAUAAUAUGAUUGUAUGUACAUGAACUUGCUAACAUACACCACCAGUCCAAUAACAUCUAGAAAAAUAAUCACAUAACCAGGUCACAAACAUGGCAGUUUAGUGGUACGAAAACAGUGAUAAAAUUCCAAGUACCUGCGAGCAUUCUGUUCCCAAGGCCAUAAACUGUCCUAAAAUCCAUGAACUGCAUCGGUAGGCGAGGGACACUUAUGUGUGCCAUAGGUAGGUGUAUCUCAGUUCGCCCACGUAAAAUGAUAAUAAAAUUUGACGGUAUGGCUAAGGCGGUGGGUAAUGGCAGUCCCGCUAGCUCAAACCACAAAUUCUUUAAAAAAUAUACCGUUCCAAUUUGUAGCUCGUUAUUGAAGCGAUCUACAAACUCUUCGUAAGCAAACGCCUCCAUUUUCGUCCCCUAGAAUAUAUAGCCAAGUCAUGUCUCAUAUAGUUGCCAAGAGAUACGAGAGAUGACCGUGCAAAAUUGCUUACUCUAGUGUCCGCUAGUAUGGCACAGAAAAACCGUCCGCUUCUCCUCGUUUGUUUUACGUGUGUAUAUAAAACCUUGGCUGUUGUCUCCCAGCCUCCUGAUUGGAUGUGCGCGAGCUCGACAUCAUCGAAUGUUACAUGCCUGCAUGGUUGAAUGGUCAGAAAAAUAGGCUAUAAAAAUGUGAGA
This is a long non-coding RNA of Lolium rigidum, 1864 nucleotides long. RefSeq lists it as uncharacterized. Lineage: Eukaryota; Viridiplantae; Streptophyta; Magnoliopsida; Poales; Poaceae. The transcript is spliced from 3 exons. The record is from RefSeq and is a predicted model, not a curated record.